Molecule: non-coding RNA, 28 nt
Filed under: Mus musculus (house mouse)
Lineage: Eukaryota; Metazoa; Chordata; Mammalia; Rodentia; Muridae
Source: RNAcentral
UGAAAAACCUUCAGUACUGCUGUUAAUU